Molecule: ribosomal RNA, 253 nt
Filed under: uncultured bacterium
Lineage: Bacteria
Description: partial 16S ribosomal RNA
Rfam family: Bacterial small subunit ribosomal RNA
Source: RNAcentral
UACAGAGGUGGCAAGCGUUGUUCGGAAUUACUGGGCGUAAAGGGCGCGUAGGCGGCCAUCUAAGUCAGACGUGAAAUCCCCCGGCUUAACCUGGGAACUGCGUCUGAUACUGGACGGCUGGAGUUUGGGAGAGGGUAGUGGAAUUUCCGGUGUAGCGGUGAAAUGCGUAGAGAUCGGAAGGAACACCAGUGGCGAAGGCGGCUACCUGGCCUAAUACUGACACUGAGGCACGAAAGCGUGGGGAGCAAACAGG